UACGGAGGGGGCUAGCGUUGUUCGGAAUUACUGGGCGUAAAGCGCACGUAGGCGGCUUUGUAAGUUAGAGGUGAAAGCCCAGGGCUUAACCCUGGAAUUGCCUUUAAGACUGCAUCGCUAGAAUUGUGGAGAGGUAAGUGGAAUUCCGAGUGUAGAGGUGAAAUUCGUAGAUAUUCGGAAGAACACCAGUGGCGAAGGCGACUUACUGGACACAUAUUGACGCUGAGGUGCGAAAGCGUGGGGAGCGAACGGG
This 253-nucleotide ribosomal RNA is filed under the name uncultured bacterium. RNAcentral's name for it is "partial 16S ribosomal RNA". It matches the Rfam family "Bacterial small subunit ribosomal RNA", at positions 524 to 776 of the family's 1533-position model. The record is from RNAcentral.